Molecule: long non-coding RNA, 1223 nt
Organism: Chrysoperla carnea
Lineage: Eukaryota; Metazoa; Arthropoda; Insecta; Neuroptera; Chrysopidae
Exons: 12
Source: RefSeq, a predicted model, not a curated record
UUCUUAAUCCACAAAAUGUUUUAAGAUUUAUAAAUAGCUGGAAAAUUGUUUUCGCAUACUUGAAAAGUUUUGAUGAGGUGGCGCUUGCAGUUGGUAGCUCAGACAUCGCCUCCAGAAACAUGGCGGAUGAAUCGACAACGCAUAUCAUGUUUGUAAUUCCUACAGACUUCGGGAAUGGCAAAGAUGUAUGGAAUAUUACGAAAAAAUCUCAAGGAUGCAAACUUAUCAUUAAAAUGCAGCUCAUUGUCUUUGAUGAUCUAUUGGUUCACCGAUAUAUAUGCAGCAAAGCAGUAGUUAGACAGUUUGCUCCUGUAAUCGAGAAAGCAUACGCUCAGAACUGCAAAGGCAAUUAACCAAAAUUUCAGGGCUGAUAAAAGUUUUGGUAUGGACGAUACAAGUUCAUAAUGUCAGGAAUACGAUAUUUCUUGUACAAUAUCUCUUCCUCGCAGUGCAACCUUAUUCAAGCAACUUUACUUUUCGAAGUAUGCCUCUGAUUUGAAUCAACUACAACUUCAACAAAAUAUGGGUGAUGAUCUGAUAAAUUUGAUUUCGUGGCGACUUCUCAUUUAAAAGUAAAAUCUUCACUAAAAAUAUGGAUGACAUUUCUGAAUAAUACAGAUCAUUUUGAAGAAGAUUUAUUUCAAUUCCACCCAGUCAUCAUAUUAAGUUCGAUAAUGAAAAUUGCUGUAUGGUUGGUGAUCUAAAAAUUUCAAGGUCGUGAUUAGAAAAACUCAUUUAUAAACGUCCAUCUCAAAUUUUUCAAACUCGAAGUAAAGAUAACAUUUAUCAGUAAUACAGACCAACAUCAAAGAAGGGUUUAUUUCGAAUUCGAUUAUGAUAAUCACUUUGUCAGAACGAUACAUGCUCAAUAUGAUGUCGAAAUUAUCUUAACCAAAAAUUAUUCAACGAUGAAAUUAACUAUUUAUGUUACAUCAAAGGACUUUGGUGGUUAAGUAUCUGCUAGUCAUCUUGAGGGCUAAACAGUUUCUAUAUUAGAACUUACAACAACUUCCGUUGAUGUCAGAAAAAUUUGCCAGUCAUCUUUAUUCGAAUAUAUUUUUUUAUUUUAGAACUUCCAUGUCAAUGAUGUGGUUAAAAAAACAGAAAUCUGAACGACCUUGUCACACUGGCUUCUAUAUUAGAGAGGUAUGUGAAAAUGCAUAUAUGUAUCAUUAUUUGACAUGUAAUUUUUGUUAUUAAAAUAAAAUUUUUAAUAAAUAUAA